ACGAUGUUGACUUCCGCUCCUCU
Molecule: microRNA, 23 nt
Filed under: Branchiostoma floridae (Florida lancelet)
Lineage: Eukaryota; Metazoa; Chordata; Leptocardii; Amphioxiformes; Branchiostomatidae
Also listed under: 2 other names
Description: bfl-miR-4869-5p
Source: miRBase by way of RNAcentral